UACAGAGGUCUCAAGCGUUGUUCGGAAUCACUGGGCGUAAAGGGUGCGUAGGCGGCGCAGCAAGUCAGAUGUGAAAUCCGGAGGCUCAACCUCCGAACUGCAUCCGAAACUGCUGUGCUCGAGAUCUGUAGAGGGACUUGGAAUUCUCGGUGUGGCAGUGAAAUGCGUAGAUAUCGAGAAGAACGCUCGUGGCGAAGGCGAAGUCCUGGGCAGAUUCUGACGCUGAGGCACGAAGGCCAGGGGAGCAAACGGG
This 253-nucleotide ribosomal RNA is filed under the name uncultured bacterium. RNAcentral describes it as "partial 16S ribosomal RNA". It matches the Rfam family "Bacterial small subunit ribosomal RNA", at positions 524 to 776 of the family's 1533-position model. The record is from RNAcentral.